GUCUAUGGCCAUGCCACCUUGAACAAGCCCGAUCCCAUCUCAUCUUGGAAGCUAAGCAGGGUUGGCCCUAGUUAGUACCUGGAUGGGAGACCGUCUAGAAAGACCAGGUGCUAUAGGUG
Molecule: ribosomal RNA, 119 nt
Filed under: Pteropus vampyrus (large flying fox)
Lineage: Eukaryota; Metazoa; Chordata; Mammalia; Chiroptera; Pteropodidae
Source: RNAcentral